Molecule: ribosomal RNA, 257 nt
Filed under: uncultured bacterium
Lineage: Bacteria
Description: partial 16S ribosomal RNA
Rfam family: Bacterial small subunit ribosomal RNA
Source: RNAcentral
UACGAAGGGGGCUAGCGUUGCUCGGAAUCACUGGGCGUAAAGGGCGCGUAGGCGGGUCUUUAAGUCAGAGGUGAAAUCCUGGAGCUCAACUCCAGAACUGCCUUUGAUACUGAGGGUCUUGAGUAUGACAGAGGUGAGUGGAACUGCGAGUGUAGAGGUGAAAUUCGUAGAUAUUCGCAAGAACACCAGUGGCGAAGGCGGCUCACUGGGUCAUUACUGACGCUGGAGGCACGAAAGCGCUGGGGAGCCAAACAGGG